GCCGGGCGUGGUGGCUCGUGCUUGUAAUCCCAGCUACUCGGGAGGCUGAGGCAGAAGAAUCGCUUGAACCCAGGAGGCAGAGGUUGCAGUGAGCCAAGAUGGUGCCACUGCACUCCAGCCUGGGUGACAGAGUGAGACUCUGUCUCAA
Molecule: small RNA, 148 nt
Filed under: Pongo abelii (Sumatran orangutan)
Lineage: Eukaryota; Metazoa; Chordata; Mammalia; Primates; Hominidae
Description: Metazoan signal recognition particle RNA (ENSPPYG00000041035.1)
Source: Rfam by way of RNAcentral